This 944-nucleotide long non-coding RNA is filed under the name Arabidopsis lyrata. RNAcentral's name for it is "long non-coding RNA (ALYR_LNC000495)". Lineage: Eukaryota; Viridiplantae; Streptophyta; Magnoliopsida; Brassicales; Brassicaceae. The record is from RNAcentral.
GAAGAGCAAUCUUGAUCUGAUCAAGGAGAUAGAGGAAGGAACAGUCAAUUUGGCCGAAGAAAAGGAGACAGUUAGCGCUGAACUCGCGGAGUUUGCUUCUCAGUUCGCUGAUUCCCCUCCAUUGACCGAACCUAAUACCGGUUUGUCUUUGGAUGAGAUGAUGUUAACUGGUUCUCCCCGUGCUCAUUUUAAUGAGUUCGGAACCAAUGUUGACAGAAUUUCUUUGGGACGAACUCAGGGGUUCCCUGGUCAGGAUCCUGCCAUCUCCUCGAUAAUAGGAGAUGACUUUGAGGAGAGAUAGGCUGAUCAGACCUACUUGCCUUUUUUAAAGAAAAAACAUUAGAAUUUUUCCUCGGUCUCUCGGUUGCGAGGUUAGAGCUCGGCUUACAAGAACACUUCGCGAUACUUCAAAAUGUUUUCGAAAAGAAAACUUUUCAGUGAGAACUGUUUGCCUUUCUUAAAAGACGAAAAAGGUAUGAUACCAUUUAUUGAUUGUCCUUGAAUUUCUCGUUCGAAAUUAAGUUCGCCUACUAGGUGUUAAGUGGUACUUGAAUAACCUAUAUUUCGUAGGUCUUGUUUGUGCAUGUACGCGAAAAUCGAAAGGUUGUAACUGUCAGAUCAGUAGAUUGACGUUUAACUUCCUUUUUCAAUAAAUACUCAAGUGAGUGCUCAUAUAUAUUUUUUCUAUAUAAGGAGAGUUUUGGAAUUUUUCCAAUAAAUAUUUUCUUCGUAAGGAACUUUGCAGUUCUUCUUUUCUAGAUUCCUUAUUUACGAUGGCCUCUCCCCCGGGCGAACCUUCUGAUCCUAAUCCACCACGAUUCCCUUCGAGUGAAUCCCUGUUUCCGACGGGGGAUGGAUUUACUCCACACGGGGUGGCCAUUCCUUGUUUUGUUUCUUCCAUGUCUAAGGAAGGAAAGAUCUAGUGCCAUGAAUUCAUGGAACAG